Mytilus californianus (California mussel) is the source of this 267-nucleotide long non-coding RNA. RefSeq lists it as uncharacterized. The record is from RefSeq and is a predicted model, not a curated record. NCBI's taxonomy places the organism in Eukaryota, Metazoa, Mollusca, Bivalvia, Mytilida, Mytilidae. The transcript is spliced from 3 exons.
AGAGUUUUACGGGUGUACCAUCCAGAAGAAAGUGAUGAUUUUGUCUUGGCAGGGAAGAAAGGAUUUGCUGCUCUUCUGGCAUCAAGACUUCACGAAGAAGGAGAAAUAUCUGGAAGUCAAUCACAUGAAGGUUUUACCUACCAUACAGAAGAACUUGGCCAUGAAGGACCUCACAAUGCCACAUACACUGUUAAAGAGACAAGUACUGGACUGCAGUUCACUAAAGUACGACAUGAACCACUGGUUACUAAUGCUGGUGGUGAAUAC